GGCAGCCUGGCAUAAUGGUUUGAGUCUUGUACUAUGACUUUGAAGACCAGGGUUCAAUUCUCAGCUUGGCCA
This is a non-coding RNA of Phrynosoma platyrhinos (Desert horned lizard), 72 nucleotides long. The record is from the annotation of a GenBank genome assembly. Lineage: Eukaryota; Metazoa; Chordata; Lepidosauria; Squamata; Phrynosomatidae.